GGGAUAUUACAUUGGUGUUGAAGUACCUGAAGAUGAUCCUGAAGCUCAGAGACCAUUUUAUGGGUCAAAUGUGUGGCCUACUGCAGGUACCCUGCCUGGAUGGAAGGAAACUAUGGAGAAGUAUCAUCAAGAGGCACUUGAGGUGACAAAAGCAGUAUCAAGGCUCAUAGCCCUUGCACUUGAUCUUGAUGUUGACUUUUUUGAUCGGCCAGAGUUUCUUGGCAGACCAAUUGCUACUUUGCGCCUACUGCAUUAUGAAGG
This 261-nucleotide unclassified non-coding RNA is filed under the name Hevea brasiliensis (rubber tree). The record is from RNAcentral. Lineage: Eukaryota; Viridiplantae; Streptophyta; Magnoliopsida; Malpighiales; Euphorbiaceae.